AGGAAGCAUACCAAAUGUUGAUGAUGCGAAAAAAAAGCAAAAAUAGUCUCUCCGCCUAAGGAUCUUAUUUCUGAUGCAAGAAGAGGACACAUGAAAGGAGCUGAAAAGCAUGCAUGUGGAAAGAGGGAGUAGAAUAGAUGGCGGCAACUACAACAUCUGGGAAUUAAUAAUAUCCAGAAGGAAUGAAGAAUGAUGAGCACUGUCUUGUCUUCAAAAUGGAUUUUCGAGGAGGAUGUCAUCAGUGGGAGAAGGAAAUCAACAAAUUGUCCAGUGACAUUCCAAGUGUAUUAAAGCUUGGAGGUGGAGUCAAGAUGGUGGCAUAAAGGCAGCAAGGGUUCAGACCUCUGAAAUCCCUUCCUUACUGAUUACAAACUCAAUGCUCCUAGGGAACUGAAAAUCAAACCUGACAACAAAACAGAGGCAAGGAACCCUCCUGCUGGAUUCAAUUUAAACGUGCCUAUUGAAGCUACUACAUCUUCUUCAAAUCAGAAGUUUCCUGAAUCUCCUAUAGCCAUCUUUUCUAAAAUCACAUGCAGAACCUUCCCCCAAAAAGAUACAAGUUCUGUGAGCUCUUUUUGUGGUAGUAAAGAAGAGGAUACCGAAGGGAUGUUCAUCAUUUGGAGAAUUACUGAAGAAGUUGUGACAUAUGAUUUUAAUGGAAUUCUGUAUUGUUAUAAGAAAUGAUAAGCAAGAUGAUCACAAAACAAGCUGGAAAGGCUUAUGUAAAGUGAUGUAUUGUACACAGUAAUAGCAAUAAAGUGUGAUGAUGAAUUGUAAAUACUUAAUUA
This 788-nucleotide long non-coding RNA is filed under the name Monodelphis domestica (gray short-tailed opossum). RNAcentral describes it as "lncRNA (ENSMODG00000036134.2)". Lineage: Eukaryota; Metazoa; Chordata; Mammalia; Didelphimorphia; Didelphidae. The record is from RNAcentral.